GAUGAAGAACGCAGCGAAAUGCGAUACGUAAUGUGAAUUGCAAAUUCAGUGAAUCAUCGAGUCUUUGAACGCACAUUGCGCCCCCUGGUAUUCCGGGGGGCAUGCCUGUCCGAGCGUCAUUGCUGCCCUCAAGCACGGCUUGUGUGUUGGGCCCCGUCCUCCGAUCCCGGGGGACGGGCCCGAAAGGCAGCGGCGGCACCGCGUCCGGUCCUCGAGCGUAUGGGGCUUUGUCACCCGCUCUGUAGGCCCGGCCGGCGCUUGCCGAUCAACCCCAAUUUUUAUCCAGGUUGACCUCGGAUCAGGUAGGGAUACCCGCUGAACUUAAGCAUAUCAAUAAGCGGAGGA
Molecule: unclassified non-coding RNA, 345 nt
Filed under: soil metagenome
Description: partial contains 5.8S ribosomal RNA, internal transcribed spacer 2, and large subunit ribosomal RNA
Rfam family: 5.8S ribosomal RNA (bases 1-119)
Source: RNAcentral